This 534-nucleotide ribosomal RNA is filed under the name uncultured bacterium M32. Its description in RNAcentral is "bacterial SSU rRNA". It matches the Rfam family "Bacterial small subunit ribosomal RNA", at positions 359 to 1533 of the family's 1533-position model. The record is from RNAcentral.
GACGGGCAAUGGACGCAAGCCUGACCCAGCCAUGCCGCGUGCAGGAAGAAGGCCUUCCGGGUUGCAAACUGCUUUUAUCUAGGAAGAAAAAACUCUUGCGAGAGGAACUGACGGUACUAGAUGAAUAAGCACCGGCUAACUCCGUGCCAGCAGCCGCGGUAAUACGGAGGGUGCAAGCGUUGUCCGGAUUUAUUGGGUUUAAAGGGUGCGUAGGCGGCCCGUUAAGUCAGUGGUGAAAGCCUCCAGCUCAACUGGAGAACUGCCAUUGAUACUGGCGGGCUUGAGUACAGACGAGGUUGGCGGAAUUGUUUGUGUAGCGGUGAAAUGCAUAGAUACAAUCAAGAACUCCGAUUGCGUAGGCAGCUAACUAGGCUGUAACUGACGCUGAGGCACGAAAGCGUGGGGAGCGAACGGGAUUAGAUACCCUGGGUAGUCCACGCCGUAAACGAUGAUUACUCGAUGUUGGCGAUAAACUGUCAGCGUCUUAGCGAAAAGCGGUCAAGUAAUUCCACCUUGGGGGAAUACCNCCCCGCA